GGGGGCAUGGCGGAAUCGGUAGACGCAGCGGACUUAAAAUCCGCAGGCUGCAAGGCUGUGGGGGUUCAAGUCCCCCUGCCCCCA
Molecule: transfer RNA, 84 nt
Filed under: Cyanobacteriota bacterium
Lineage: Bacteria; Bacillati; Cyanobacteriota
Also listed under: 1 other name
Description: tRNA-Leu
Rfam family: tRNA
About the family: Transfer RNA (tRNA) molecules are approximately 80 nucleotides in length.
Source: RNAcentral